GGGCCCGUAGCUCAGUCGGUAGAGCAGCGGCCUUUUAAGCCGUUGGUCGCAGGUUCGAUUCCUGCCGGGCUCA
RNAcentral lists this transfer RNA (73 nucleotides) under Candidatus Latescibacterota bacterium. Its description in RNAcentral is "tRNA-Lys". It matches the Rfam family "tRNA". From Rfam's summary of the family: Transfer RNA (tRNA) molecules are approximately 80 nucleotides in length. Their secondary structure includes four short double-helical elements and three loops (D, anti-codon, and T loops). Further hydrogen bonds mediate the characteristic L-shaped molecular structure. tRNAs have two regions of fundamental functional importance: the anti-codon, which is responsible for specific mRNA codon recognition, and the 3' end, to which the tRNAs corresponding amino acid is attached (by aminoacyl-tRNA synthetases). tRNAs cope with the degeneracy of the genetic code in two manners: having more than one tRNA (with a specific anti-codon) for a particular amino acid; and 'wobble' base-pairing, i.e. permitting non-standard base-pairing at the 3rd anti-codon position. The record is from RNAcentral. Lineage: Bacteria; Pseudomonadati; Candidatus Latescibacterota.